This 237-nucleotide ribosomal RNA is filed under the name uncultured Fusobacteriaceae bacterium. RNAcentral's name for it is "partial 16S ribosomal RNA". It matches the Rfam family "Bacterial small subunit ribosomal RNA", at positions 99 to 334 of the family's 1533-position model. Lineage: Bacteria; Fusobacteriati; Fusobacteriota; Fusobacteriia; Fusobacteriales; Fusobacteriaceae. The record is from RNAcentral.
CGGACGGGUGAGUAACGCGUAAAGAACUUGCCUCACAGUUAGGGACAACAUUUGGAAACGAAUGCUAAUACCUGAUAUUAUGAUUUUAGGGCAUCCUAGGAUUAUGAAAGCUAUAUGCGCUGUGAGAGAGCUUUGCGUCCCAUUAGCUAGUUGGAGAGGUAACGGCUCACCAAGGCGAUGAUGGGUAGCCGGCCUGAGGGGGGUGAUCGGCCACAAGGGGACUGAGACACGGCCCUU